This 465-nucleotide ribosomal RNA is filed under the name uncultured bacterium. RNAcentral describes it as "partial 16S ribosomal RNA". It matches the Rfam family "Bacterial small subunit ribosomal RNA", at positions 28 to 507 of the family's 1533-position model. The record is from RNAcentral.
GACGAACGCUGGCGGCGUGCUUAACACAUGCAAGUCGUACGGUAAGGCCCUUUCGGGGGUACACGAGUGGCGAACGGGUGAGUAACACGUGAGUAACCUGCCCACAACUUUGGGAUAACGCUAGGAAACUGGUGCUAAUACUGGAUAUGUGCUCCCGCUGCAUGGUGGGGGUUGGAAAGCUCCGGCGGUUGUGGAUGGACUCGCGGCCUAUCAGCUUGUUGGUGGGGUAGUGGCCUACCAAGGCGGCGACGGGUAGCCGGCCUGAGAGGGUGACCGGCCACAUUGGGACUGAGAUACGGCCCAGACUCCUACGGGAGGCAGCAGUGGGGAAUAUUGCACAAUGGGCGCAAGCCUGAUGCAGCAACGCCGCGUGCGGGAUGACGGCCUUCGGGUUGUAAACCGCUUUCAGCAGGGACGAAGCUUUUUGUGACGGUACCUGCAGAAGAAGCACCGGCUAACUACGUG